AACGAACGCUGGCGGCAUGCCUAACACAUGCGAGUCGAACGAGACCUUCGGGUCUAGUGGCGCACGGGUGCGUAACGCGUGGGAACCUGCCCUUAGGUUCGGAAUAACUCCCCGAAAGGGGUGCUAAUACCGGAUAAUGGCUUCGGACCAAAGAUUUAUCGCCUUUGGAUGGGCCCGCGUUGGAUUAGAUAGUUGGUAGGGUAAAAGCCUACCAAGGCGACGAUCCAUAGCUGGGCUGUGAGGAUGAUCAGCCACACUGGGACUGAGACACGGCCCAGACUCCUACGGGAGGGAGCAGUGGGGGAUAUUGGACAAUGGACGGAAGCCUGAUCCAGCAAUGCCGCGUGAGUGAUGAAGGCCUUAGAGUUGUAAAGCUCUUUUACCCGGGAUGGUAAUGACAGUACCGGGGUAAUAAGCUCCGGCUAACUCCGUG
This 433-nucleotide ribosomal RNA is filed under the name uncultured bacterium. RNAcentral describes it as "partial 16S ribosomal RNA". It matches the Rfam family "Bacterial small subunit ribosomal RNA", at positions 29 to 507 of the family's 1533-position model. The record is from RNAcentral.